This 732-nucleotide ribosomal RNA is filed under the name uncultured Leptotrichia sp. RNAcentral describes it as "bacterial SSU rRNA". It matches the Rfam family "Bacterial small subunit ribosomal RNA", at positions 28 to 776 of the family's 1533-position model. Lineage: Bacteria; Fusobacteriati; Fusobacteriota; Fusobacteriia; Fusobacteriales; Leptotrichiaceae. The record is from RNAcentral.
GAUGAACGCUGACAGAAUGCUUAACACAUGCAAGUCUUUGGCGAAGCUGUGCUUGCACAGCCUAGCCAAGGCGGACGGGUGAGUAACGCGUAAGGGACUUGCCCUGCAGUCAGGGAUAACAGACGGAAACGACUGAUAAAACCUGGUAAAGUCAGGCGGACUCAUGUCCAGCCUGAUGAAAAGGAAUGCUGCAGGAGAGCCUUGCGUCCUAUUAGCUUGUUGGUGGGGUAACGGCCCACCAAGGCGAUGAUAGGUAGCCGGCCUGAGAGGGUGGACGGCCACAAGGGGACUGAGAUACGGCCCUUACUCCUACGGGAGGCAGCAGUGGGGAAUAUUGGACAAUGGGGGCAACCCUGAUCCAGCAAUUCUGUGUGCACGAUGAAGGUCCUCGGAUUGUAAAGUGCUUUCAGCAGGGAAGAAAAAAAUGACGGUACCUGCAGAAGAAGCGACGGCUAAAUACGUGCCAGCAGCCGCGGUAAUACGUAUGUCGCGAGCGUUAUCCGGAAUUAUUGGGCAUAAAGGGCAUCUAGGCGGCCGGAUAAGUCUGGGGUGAAAACUUGCGGCUCAACCGCAAGCCUGCCCUGGAAACUAUGCGGCUAGAGUACUGGAGAGGUGGACGGAACUGCACGAGUAGAGGUGAAAUUCGUAGAUAUGUGCAGGAAUGCCGAUGAUGAAGAUAGUUCACUGGACGGUAACUGACGCUGAAGUGCGAAAGCUAGGGGAGCAAACAGG